UAGCACUCCCCUAGACAAGCAUGGAAGAGGCCCCUGGGCCUGACAAUACACACAUGGUUAAGGCAUUGCCACCUACUUCGUGGCAUCUAAUCAUCUUUUCUG
RNAcentral lists this non-coding RNA (102 nucleotides) under Piliocolobus tephrosceles (Ugandan red Colobus). Lineage: Eukaryota; Metazoa; Chordata; Mammalia; Primates; Cercopithecidae. The record is from RNAcentral.